This 252-nucleotide ribosomal RNA is filed under the name uncultured bacterium. RNAcentral describes it as "partial 16S ribosomal RNA". It matches the Rfam family "Bacterial small subunit ribosomal RNA", at positions 524 to 776 of the family's 1533-position model. The record is from RNAcentral.
UACGGAGGAUGCGAGCGUUAUCCGGAUUUAUUGGGUUUAAAGGGUGCGUAGGCGGUUCGUUAAGUCAGCGGUAAAAUUGCGGGGCUCAACCACGUCGAGCCGUUGAAACUGGCAGACUUGAGUUGGCGAGAAGUACGCGGAAUGCGCGGUGUAGCGGUGAAAUGCAUAGAUAUCGCGCAGAACUCCGAUUGCGAAGGCAGCGUACCGGCGCCAGACUGACGCUGAGGCACGAAAGCGUGGGGAUCGAACAGG